Molecule: ribosomal RNA, 551 nt
Filed under: Prolixibacteraceae bacterium JC049
Lineage: Bacteria; Pseudomonadati; Bacteroidota; Bacteroidia; Marinilabiliales; Prolixibacteraceae
Description: bacterial SSU rRNA
Source: RNAcentral
AAAUUGAAGAGUUUGAUCAUGGCUCAGAUUGAACGCUGGCGGCAGGCCUAACACAUGCAAGUCGAACGGUAGCACAGAGAGCUUGCUCUCGGGUGACGAGUGGCGGACGGGUGAGUAAUGUCUGGGAAACUGCCUGAUGGAGGGGGAUAACUACUGGAAACGGUAGCUAAUACCGCAUAACGUCGCAAGACCAAAGWGGGGGACCUUCGGGCCUCWUGCCAUCAGAUGUGCCCAGAUGGGAUUAGCUAGUAGGUGGGGUAACGGCUCACCUAGGCGACGAUCCCUAGCUGGUCUGAGAGGAUGACCAGCCACACUGGAACUGAGACACGGUCCAGACUCCUACGGGAGGCAGCAGUGGGGAAUAUUGCACAAUGGGCGCAAGCCUGAUGCAGCCAUGCCGCGUGUAUGAAGAAGGCCUUCGGGUUGUAAAGUACUUUCAGCGGGGAGGAAGGGAGUAAGGUUAAUAACCUUAUUCAUUGACGUUACCCGCAGAAGAAGCACCGGCUAACUCCGUGCCAGCAGCCGCGGUAAUACGGAGGGUGCAAGCGUUA